CUAGACACUAAGGAAAUGUGUGAAGGACUAAUUUUUGGAUUCCCAAUUGUGUGACAAAGCAGUGGUGAUAUGAAAAUAGCAGUUACCAGGGAUGAUUACUAGGACUUAAUUUACUACCACCCCUGCUGCUAGCACCUACCACAUCACAGUCCCUGGUCAAAAGUGUCUUUUCCACCUAAGGUGCAUAAAUGGAGGCGCAAGGAGGUUAGGAAAGUACUCACCCAAAGGAACAGGGCUAGCAAAGGUCAGAGCUGAUUUCCGAAUCCAGGUCCUGGGGACUCCAAAACCCCUGUCCUGUUCACCCCUUCAGGGGUUUUUCCUUGGAGGAAGUUGCUUCUUGAACAGGAAAAUUCUUCUGCACACCUGGUGGUGCUGGAACAAAGGGGAUGGCCAAGAAAAUCAAGAAAACCUGCAAUCUGGCAGUUCUGGGUUUUCCUUAGACCACCUCCCAAGAAACGAUAGAAGAAAGCGUUCUGGAGGAUUGAAAGGAAAGAAAGGAUGUCUCUUUCUCUGACAGAAGAGAGUCCUACAGA
Molecule: long non-coding RNA, 533 nt
Organism: Lontra canadensis (Northern American river otter)
Lineage: Eukaryota; Metazoa; Chordata; Mammalia; Carnivora; Mustelidae
Exons: 3
Source: RefSeq, a predicted model, not a curated record